RNAcentral lists this ribosomal RNA (253 nucleotides) under uncultured bacterium. Its description in RNAcentral is "partial 16S ribosomal RNA". It matches the Rfam family "Bacterial small subunit ribosomal RNA", at positions 524 to 776 of the family's 1533-position model. The record is from RNAcentral.
UACAGAGGGUGCGAGCGUUAAUCGGAAUUACUGGGCGUAAAGGGUGCGUAGGUGGUUACGUAAGUUAAUUGUGAAAGUCCUGGGCUUAACCUGGGGAUUGCAGUUAAUACUGCGUAGCUAGAGUGUUGUAGAGGUAAGCGGAAUUUCCGGUGUAGCGGUGAAAUGCGUAGAGACCCGGAGGAACACCGGUGGCGAAGGCGGGUCUCUGGGCCAUUACUGACGCUGAGGAGCGAAAGCGUGGGGAGCGAACAGG